Lycium ferocissimum is the source of this 3175-nucleotide long non-coding RNA. RefSeq lists it as uncharacterized. The record is from RefSeq and is a predicted model, not a curated record. The transcript is spliced from 2 exons. NCBI's taxonomy places the organism in Eukaryota, Viridiplantae, Streptophyta, Magnoliopsida, Solanales, Solanaceae.
CGAGGACAUGUUGUGAGCUUGUGUUAUUGAUUUCGACGGUCAUUGGGAUCAUCACUUACCAUUGGCGGUGUUUGCGUACAACAAUAAUUAUCAUUUGAGUAUUGUCAUAGCGCCUUUUGAGGCUUUAUAUGGUAGGAGAUGUAGAUCUCCGGUAGGCUAGUUUGAUGGGUUCGAGGUUCGACCUUGGGGUACGGAUCUGUUAAGAAAGGCCCUUGAUAGAGUGAAAGUUAUUCAGGCCAAGCAUUUAGCAGCUCAGAGUCGGUAGAAGGUGUAUACGGACCGAAAGGUCCGAGAUCUAGAGUUUGUUGUUGGUGACCAGGUUCUAUUGAAGAUUUCACCUAUGAAGGGUGUUAUGAGGUUUGGGAAGAGGAGCAAGUUGAGCCCUAGGUAUAUUGGCCAAUUUGAGAUUGUUGACCGUGUGGGCGAUGUUGCUUAUGAGUUAGCCUUGUCGCCAGGCUUGGCGGGAGUUCAUCCGAUUUUCAUCUUUCUAUGCUGAAGAAGUACCAUGCUGACGGUACUUACAUUGUUCAUUGGGAUUCGAUAUUACUUGAUGAGAAUUUGAUCUAUGAGGAGCAGCCUAUUGAGAUCUUGGAUAGGCAGAUUCGAAAGUUGAGGUCCAAGGAGAUUGCUUCUGUGAAGGUGCAAUGGAAGCAUCGUCCUGUUGACGAGGCUACUUGGGAGAGUGAGUCCGACAUGCGUAGCCGGUAUCCCCAGUUGUUCGCUGAUUCAGGUACUUCCUCGCUCUUUUUCUUUCUUCGUUCGAGGACGAGCAAUGGUUUAAUUGGUAUACGAUGUAACGACCCGCUUGGUCGUUAUAGUCUUUCAGGCACUUUCGCCUCUUUUCGAGCUUGGUUAGCUCACUUUUGACCAGAGGGGACCAUUGACACACUUCCCGAGGUGUCUAGAUUUUAUUCGAGCGACUUUUUGUGAAAUUUGGACUUAAAGUGAAAAAGAGUUGACUCAAAGUUGACUUUUGGGUAAAUGGACCUUUUUCAAAAAUUCAUAUAUUCCGCAAGGUCCGGAUGAUCAUUUAGAACUUGUGUGUAUAUCUGGUUCGAUUCCCAAUGCACUCGGAUGCAUUUUGGGACUUGGGUUGGGAAGUUAAAAUUGAGGUAUUGGGGGUUGACUCAGUUAACGAGACCUCCGUUAGAAAUUUCGAGGCUACUAGUGUGAUCGUAGCGUGUUUUUAUGUGUGUCUUUCUAUGUGGUUUGUGAGCAGAUGGCCUCAAGAAUUAGACGAAAAUUCGAGUUGAUUUGUGAAAAUGAGAAUAGUUUCUGGUGUCUGGUGCCCGCUUUGGCGGCACCAGCAUCGCGGCAGCGGUACCGCUGUAGCGGUCACCCUGCCGCUGAAGCGGUCUGUGCCAUUUGGGCAUGACCGCUGUAGCGGUCAUGGGACCGCUGGGGCGGCACCGCUGGAGCGGUAAUAUUGUCGCGGAAGCGGGUGACGGGCAGUUAGUUCAUUAAAUGAAGUGUUAAAUGCCUUAAGUCCCUCAUUUAUUUCCAUUCCAAAAAUUGAGCUCUUGGGAACAAUUCUAGAGGAUUCUUGGUGAAGAUUCUUGGUGGUAAGUCCUUCCAAUCCCUUUGCUAUUUCAUAAUCCCUAAUCAUCUUAGAAUCUCUUUUUUCCUUAUUAGUUCAUCAUAAUGGAAGAUUAAAGUGGGUUUAAUGGAUAUUUCAUCUACGCUUCUAAAUCAAGAAUUGUUGGUUAGGUUCAUGCUACAUUACGAUGUAUCUAAGGUUGUUAAUCAAAUACCUUCCAUUAUUAGUGUUGAAUUCUUGAAUUUAAGAGUUAGGGUUUACACCCAAAAAAUUAGGGGUUUUGCUUGGAUUUCGAAAUUGGAUGAAUCAUUGAGUUAAUUUAGCAAUUGGUUGAUGGGUUUUGAUCACCUUGUGCAUAAUUGGAUAAUUUGCCCCCGAAUUUCCCGUUUUGACCUUGUGGGCCCCGUUUCCCCAAAUUCUUGCGUUGCUUUUGACCUAAUUUGAACGAUAGCAAUAUAGGUAUCGAUCUUUAUGAGUUCUAAUCUCGAUUUCAAAUAUGCCUAGACUUUCUUGAUCUUAAGGCUCAGCUGAAAGGGAAGGCUAAGGAGUGACUGUUGGUGUUAUUGUUGUUUGGCCUUCCAGGUAGGUUAUAGCUUAACCUUGGUGAGAAUUUGUGUAGCGAAGCAUAUAUUUAGAUGAUAAUAUCAGAGAAAGCAUGUAAACCUUGGGGUAUGAUGUUGGGUUGGAUAUUGUCUUAGAUUAGGCCUUGUUGUGUGAUUGGGGCUAUCCACCGGUUGUGUUGUGACUUGAUUGGUCUAUGGUUAUUUCGCUUGAUGUCGUGUGGUAAUAGUAGAUAUUGGAGACUAUUGAUAUAUCUUGUUCAUGAUAUUAUGGUACCUCACUUGUUGAUGUUGAUAUGGGGAUAGUAUUCUAUAUGACUUGUGUAGUCUUUCAUGAUAUGGUUGGCGUAUACUUGUGAUAUUGAUCUGAUUAUUGAUGUUGACUCAUACAUUGCACGGAUUCUCAUCCUUCAUGAUAUACUGUUGAUACAUUGGUGAUACUUGAGGAAACAGUGUGAUGAGCUGGGCUCUGUUUGCAUGAGAGUGACGUGAGAGUCUGAUAUCCGAUGGUUGUCCCGGAAUCAUGGAUUGAGUGACACGAUUUCUAAGGUUUGUGCCGAAAGCGUGAGGUACAUGGACUUUGCGGGUCCCCCAUGGGUUGUGCUAUCGAGACGCUGAUACUUUCGUCCAGAGUACAUAUGUACACAACAUUGCAUUGCAUUUUCAUUCUUACAUCAUUGCAUUCCAUUGCAUUGUGGCUUAUUGUGAUGAUCUGGUGAUUUACUUGUGUUGUUGGUUUCAGAUUGGACAUGUUGAGACUGGGCACACUUGGGUUUAGAUGCUUCAACCUAGGUGAUGGCGGGUUGGAUCUGCUUUCGUCUCCCGUGGCUGAUAGUCGCUAUCAGUAUAGCUUAGAUUUUACAGGGUGAGCACGAGAUGUUCGCUGCCUUAAAGACUCCUCUUAUCUAUGUCUUAUUUUCCAUUCUGAGACAUAUUCAGACUUGGUGUAUUCUUAUAUUUCCAGACUUGUAGAUUUCUAGGUAGAUGCUCUUGUAUGGAUUAGACCAUACUCUGGGGUGUAUUUUCUUAUUUCCGCACUUGAAUUAUACUAUUAUUGUCAGACUUACGUGAUUUAUUC